Molecule: long non-coding RNA, 669 nt
Filed under: Chloebia gouldiae (Gouldian finch)
Lineage: Eukaryota; Metazoa; Chordata; Aves; Passeriformes; Passeridae
Description: Erythrura gouldiae (Gouldian finch) lncRNA (ENSEGOG00005011387.1)
Source: RNAcentral
AAUCCCAGAAUGGGUCCCUGACGGUGUUUUGGGGUCCCUGAUAGGAUUUGGGGGUCCCUGGUGGGAUUUUGGGGGUCCCUGACAGAUUUUGGGGUUCCUGAUUUGAUUUCGGGAGUCCCUGAUGGGAUUUUGGGGGUUCCCAGGUGCAUUUUGGAGUCCCUGGUGGGAUUUUUGGGUUCCCUGGUGGGAUUUUGGGGUCCCUGAUGGGAUUUUGGGGUCCCCCAGGGCUGGAGGAGCUAGGAUUGGACGGGGGCUCCUCCCCAGGGCGGGGCCCGGGCGGGGACAGCAGCUCCGUGUCCUCAUUGGGCCGCGACGGCUCCGCCCCCGGCAGCACCAAGUCGGGCUCGGGCAGCCCUGGGGGCGGCAGCGCCGGGGGGGUCCCGGCCGGGGGGGGCCUGUCCCCGGCAGAGGUGGCCGAGCUGUUCCAGAGGCUGGCCCAGAGUCAGCAGGAGCGCUGGCUGCUGGAGGAGAAGGUACUGGGAGCAUUGGGAGGGACUGGGAGGGAACUGGGGGGGACUGGAAGGGACUGGGAGGGGACUGGAGGGGACUGGGAGGGGACUGGGAGGGAACUGGGGGGUACUGGGAGGGGACUGGGAGGGAACUGGGGGGGACUGGGAGGGAACUAGGAGGGACUGGGGGGGACUGGGAGGGACUGGGAGGGACUGGGGC